GGGUGGGGCCCCAGAGUUUGCAUUUUCAGCAAGUUGCCAGCUGAUGUGGGUGCUGCUGGUCUGGGACAGCCCUUUGAGAACUGCAGGUUUAGUUCAUUCCCUUCAGGAAGAAUGAGCCCGCACAUGGCCCUGCAGAUCACCUUUUGAAUGUCUUCCUCUUCUGCCUACUUGCUGGCCCAUGAGGAUUUUUGCACACCUCCCGUAAGGAUUGGCAUGUAUCCAUUAGCUUUUCUCACCCAGCCUUGUGCUUUCAGUACCAUGUCCUUGUGAGAUGUACUUUAUCCCUUGCCAGAAGCUACAUCAGAUACUUUGGUAAUCUUUG
Molecule: long non-coding RNA, 322 nt
Organism: Manis pentadactyla (Chinese pangolin)
Lineage: Eukaryota; Metazoa; Chordata; Mammalia; Pholidota; Manidae
Exons: 3
Source: RefSeq, a predicted model, not a curated record